CCCCAGCGCCACAAGUGGUUAUCACGAUUAUUGGGCCUAAAGCGUUCGUAGCCGGUUUGGUAAAUCUCUUGUGAUAUUGUUCGGCUUAACCGGACAGCGUGCAGGAGACACUGCCAGACUCGAGACCGGGAGGCGUAAGAAGUAUUCCAUGGGGACUGGUAAAAUGGGAUAAUCCAUGGAAGACUACCGAUGGCGAAGGCAUCUUACGAGAACGGAUCUGACGGUGAGGAACGAAAGCCAGGGGAGCGAACCGG
RNAcentral lists this ribosomal RNA (254 nucleotides) under uncultured bacterium. RNAcentral describes it as "partial 16S ribosomal RNA". It matches the Rfam family "Archaeal small subunit ribosomal RNA", at positions 474 to 727 of the family's 1478-position model. The record is from RNAcentral.